GUUCUAAGUUGAAAGAGGGAAGAUUUAGGUUGGAUGUAAGGGGGAAGUGCUUUACCAGGAGACUGGUGAGGUGCUGGAACAGCUGCCCAGAGAGGCUGUGGAUGCCCCGUCCAUCCCUGGAGGUGUUCAAGGCCAGGCUGGACGGGGCCCUGGGCAGCCUGGUCUAGUAAAUGGGGAGGUUGGUGGCCCUGCCUGGCAGGGGGGUUGGAGAUUCAUGAUCCUUGAGGUCCCUCCCAACCCAGGCCAUUCUGUGACUCUGAUUCUGUGGGUCAGGUCUCCAGGGACGGAGCAUCCACGGCAUCUCUGUGCAACCUGUGCCAGUGCCUCACCACCCCCCUGCAGAAGAUUCUGUCCCUGUAGCCAACCUAA
This 369-nucleotide long non-coding RNA is filed under the name Gallus gallus (chicken). RNAcentral describes it as "lncRNA (ENSGALG00010028646.1)". The record is from RNAcentral. Lineage: Eukaryota; Metazoa; Chordata; Aves; Galliformes; Phasianidae.